This is a long non-coding RNA of Vicia villosa (hairy vetch), 890 nucleotides long. RefSeq lists it as uncharacterized. Lineage: Eukaryota; Viridiplantae; Streptophyta; Magnoliopsida; Fabales; Fabaceae. The transcript has 6 exons. The record is from RefSeq and is a predicted model, not a curated record.
CUCUCCCUCAUUUUUCUUCUUUUGUGUAGCCACCGCCCCUUCCUUCUCUCAUCAGUCCAACAAUAUCGCUCAAAUCUGUGAAAAAACCAUGCUCACCGUUACUCUCUUCGUCCAGAAAAUGAUCAAUCUCUCUUCAUCUCUCAUCUCUACUCUCUUUGUCUAGAAAAAGAUCAAACCCUAACAUCCAAAUUCCAGAAACAUAUCACAAUUAAUUUUAGAAGUUAUAUUUGUGAACGGAAAGAAGGUUGCUAGCAGAUAUUUUGAGAGUUUCUAUGGUUUUCUAUCUGAUUAUCGAAGUGAUCUUCUUCAGGGGUGACAGAGUUAGACAAGUUGAGUUUCAUUCACUGAUCCCAAAUCCACCCACAGAAGAGUAGAAGCUUUUUGAAGAGAAAAAGAAGUUAAAGAAGAGGUGUGUUGUUAUGAAGCUUAGGAGUUAUGGUCAACUGAGAUUAACUUCACAGUUUUAAGAGGUUGUAUCAUACUUAAUGACAGUCCCUAAACAGAAAUGGGAGUUCCCAGUUGUUGCAUUGGUAAAUUUCAUAACCUCUUGUAAGGAAGAAGAUAUCAUAAAAAUGGUGACGAAGAUUCUUAGGUUUUGGUGUGAAGCAUCACUGCAAUAAUGUCUGGUGUAAAGAUGAUGCUAUUCUCUGGUGUAAAGAUGAUGCUAUUCUCUGGUGUGAACUGUGAAGUGUCACUGCAUCACUAUAAUUGUAAUUUAUGCUGGCUGUUUUAUUUUAUCUUGGCUUGCCUUGUCAUGUUACUUCACUUAUGAUGGACAACGGCAACAAUUAUUUUAUUUUUACUGGGUAUCAUGUUCCAACUGAAUGAUGGACAACAAUAUUAGUUGAUCCUUAAAAUAUCAGUACAUUAUGUUUAAAUUUAUAGAUCUU